GUCGAGCGAUGAAACUUCUUCGGAAGUGGAUUAGCGGCGGACGGGUGAGUAACACGUGGGCAACCUGCCCUAUAGAGGGGAAUAGCCUUCCGAAAGGAAGAUUAAGACCCCAUAAGAUUGUAGCUUCACAUGGAGCAGCAAUUAAAGGAGCAAUCCGCUAUAGGAUGGGCCCGCGGCGCAUUAGCUAGUUGGUGAGGUAACGGCUCACCAAGGCGACGAUGCGUAGCCGACCUGAGAGGGUGAUCGGCCACAUUGGGACUGAGACACGGCCCAGACUCCUACGGGAGGCAGCAGUGGGGAAUAUUGCACAAUGGGGGAAACCCUGAUGCAGCAACGCCGCGUGAGUGAUGAAGGCCUUCGGGUUGUAAAGCUCUGUCUUUGGGGACGAUAAUGACGGUACCCAAGGAGGAAGCCACGGCUAACUACGUGCCAGCAGCCGCGGUAAUACGUAGGUGGCAAGCGUUGUCCGGAUUUACUGGGCGUAAAGGGAGCGUAGGCGGACUUUUAAGUGGGAUGUGAAAUACUCGGGCUCAACCUGAGUGCUGCAUUCCAAACUGGAAGUCUAGAGUGCAGGAGGGGAAAGUGGAAUUCCUAGUGUAGCGGUGAAAUGCGUAGAUAUUAGGAAGAACACCGGUGGCGAAGGCGACUUUCUGGACUGUAACUGACGCUGAGGCUCGAAAGCGUGGGGAGCGAACAGGAUUAGAUACCCUGGUAGUCCACGCCGU
RNAcentral lists this ribosomal RNA (725 nucleotides) under uncultured microorganism. RNAcentral describes it as "bacterial SSU rRNA". It matches the Rfam family "Bacterial small subunit ribosomal RNA", at positions 61 to 803 of the family's 1533-position model. The record is from RNAcentral.